UACGAAGGGUGCUAGCGUUGCUCGGAAUUACUGGGCGUAAAGGGUUCGUAGGCGGUCUAUUAAGCCAGUGGUGAAAUCCUGAGGCUCAACCUCAGAAUUGCCAUCGGGACUGGUAGGCUAGAGAAAGUUAGAGGAAAGUGGAAUUCCUAGUGUAGGAGUGAAAUCCGUAGAGAUUAGGAGGAAUAUCGAUGGCGAAGGCAGCUUUCUGGGACUUUUCUGACGCUGAGGAACGAAAGCGUGGGUAGCAAACAGG
Molecule: ribosomal RNA, 253 nt
Filed under: uncultured bacterium
Lineage: Bacteria
Description: partial 16S ribosomal RNA
Rfam family: Bacterial small subunit ribosomal RNA
Source: RNAcentral